Salvelinus fontinalis (brook trout) is the source of this 2254-nucleotide RNA transcript. It is a transcript of the gene named cilia- and flagella-associated protein 251-like, with no coding region annotated. NCBI's taxonomy places the organism in Eukaryota, Metazoa, Chordata, Actinopteri, Salmoniformes, Salmonidae. The record is from RefSeq and is a predicted model, not a curated record. The transcript has 5 exons.
UUCAGAAACAGCUCGUCAACCACCUCGGUCGCUUGCUAGCCAACAUAGCCGUAAGAUUCAAGCUAUUUAUACGCUUUCGGUGUAUAUUAGCUACUGUGUUUUCGACACACUUAGGUCGUAUCUACUUGUUAACCUAUUUCAUUUAGUAUUACGUUAUUUUGUAUUAGUCAGCUAUAGUAGCUGGCUGGUUAAGUUAGCACUAGCCUAGUCGCUAAUGAUAGCUAGCUAGCUAACAUCCCCGAACAUGAGCUCCAUAAACUUCUCCCCUCCUGUUAAAGAAGAGGAUAAGGUCUGCUGGACGGAGAAAUUAGGUCUGUGGCUGAACAUUGUCGUGAAAGAGGAGGAGGAAGAAGAGGAUGUCACAGUAAAACAAGAAGUAGAGGGUGAGGCUGUUACAGUGAAAGAGGAAGACGUUUCAGUGAAGGAAGAGGAGGACGCGUUCAGAGUUAAAGAGGAGGAAGAUGAGAAAGAGGAGGAUGUAGUUUUUGGUGUGAAAGAGGAGGGGGAGGUUACUGUCACAUUGGAGGAAGAAGAGGAGGUUGGAGAUCUGUUUAACCCCAGUAGCUAGCUAACAGCCAUGGAGGGUGAAAGGAUAGCAGCCCCAACUGUCAGUGAGAGAGGAGGCUAUUCUGGAUAGGGCAGGUACUUUUGUGUUGUUCCUGUCCCUAGAAGUGAGGACGGAGAUAAUAGUAACAUAAUAUUCAGUGUGGUGUAAUAUGACUAUAAUGAAGUGUGUUUCUUGUGAGGUUUUCUGUCCUCAGAUAAAGAGCUCUAUGAAAGCCAGUCUACAUAUGAAGAGGUCCCAAUGAAGAGCAGUGGUUCUCAGUCCUGGGGACUCAGAGGCACAUUGUUGUUUUUGCCUCAGCACUGCACAGCUGAUUCAAAUGAUCAACUCAUCAUCAAGUUUCAAGUGAUACCUUGUAACAGGAGAUUCCUUCAAAACGAUUGCCUACAGUUACCGUGUAGCGAACUGCAAGGUUGGGUGACCAGGGUCAUCUGGGACUGCCUCCUGGAGGAAUUCAGGUGUGUGAAGGCUACAUGUGUCCUGCGUAACUUCAUGAGGAUGAACACGAGGACCAGGAGGGGAUCUGCAGCUCACCGCCGUGUCCCAGAGGAGGAGUCUGCUGCUCUGCAGGAUGUUUCAAGGAUGGGGUCCAACCACGCAGCAAGAGAGGCAAUCCGUGUUCGGGAGAUCUUCACCUCCUACUUCUUCAAAGAGGGUGCUGUUCCCUGGCAACACCAUAGACUACACUAUGCUCAACCAAAGGCUCUUUUAAGAGGUUGCUGUUCCCUAGCAACACCAUAGACUACACUAUGCACAACCAAAGGCUCUUUUAAGAGGGUGCUGUUCCCUGGCAACACCAUAGACUACACUAUGCACAACCAAAGGCUCUUUUAAGAGCCAUUCACAUUGCAAUAAGAGUAUUCUUCCAUUUACUUAGCUAUGUCAACUGCAGUUAUUCAAUUCAUAGUUUCUCUCCCUUUGAUUUCUACUUCUCCGAUGAGGGUGCAGUUUAGGUAAGGGUGUGAUGUCUGUGCAAAAACAAAACAGGCUAUUUCAAAUCACCCAUAUUGAAAAAAUUUAUAACAAUUAGACACCCUAUAACCCACACCUACACACUAAUGUAUCAAUCUGAUUGAUGGAUUGUGUUGUGCAGUAAGCAGGCUCAGGUGUAUAACUGUGGCUCCUUCCACCUUCAAAGAAUAGGCAAGAGGGCCAACCAUGGAGAAUAGUAAGACACUUCAUUAUUUCUAUAACUACGCUAUAUUGUUUGUCCUUGUGUGUCUGUUCAUGUUUUUCAGCAUAAAGUACUCUGCAGCCACUUAGUGUGGUGUGGACACCAGUCCUCUAGGUUAUAUCAGCUGUGUCGGUGAACCCCUCCUGCAUCUGAACUGGCUACAUAGAGGGCACAGCAUGAUCAGAGAUAUGUUUUGAUGUGAGAGGAUGCCAACCCCCAGUCCCAUCAUCGCCACCUCACCCUCUUUUAAGAUAACCUUUAGGCCGACUAGAGACAAUAUUAUGUAAUUGUGAUGAACUGAGAGAAUAUUUAUGUAGCACUGUGUUUCAUUAAUCAUGUGCUGCCUUCCCUGCUCCUAUGUGCUUACCUCUUUCCCUUUCUGUCUUUAACACCUCUCUCUCCACCUCUUUCUUCCUCUGUUUUUAUAAUUCACAACAGAUGUGCAUUGAAGUACAGAUUGAACUUGUAUUUAUAACACUUGGAUAAUGAGUUUUUCAAUAAAGCGUUUCACAUUC